GCUACAAUGGGCGGUACAAAGGGUCGCGAACCCGCGAGGGGGAGCCAAUCCCAAAAAGCCGCUCUCAGUUCGGAUUGCAGGCUGCAACUCGCCUGCAUGAAGCCGGAAUCGCUAGUAAUCGCGGAUCAGCAUGCCGCGGUGAAUACGUUCCCGGGCCUU
RNAcentral lists this ribosomal RNA (159 nucleotides) under uncultured Anoxybacillus sp. RNAcentral describes it as "partial 16S ribosomal RNA". It matches the Rfam family "Bacterial small subunit ribosomal RNA", at positions 1224 to 1382 of the family's 1533-position model. Lineage: Bacteria; Bacillati; Bacillota; Bacilli; Caryophanales; Anoxybacillaceae. The record is from RNAcentral.